RNAcentral lists this ribosomal RNA (459 nucleotides) under uncultured bacterium. RNAcentral describes it as "partial 16S ribosomal RNA". It matches the Rfam family "Bacterial small subunit ribosomal RNA", at positions 338 to 795 of the family's 1533-position model. The record is from RNAcentral.
CCUACGGGAGGCAGCAGUGAGGAAUAUUGGUCAAUGGCCGGAAGGCUGAACCAGCCAAGUCGCGUGAGGGACGACUGCCCUACGGGUUGUAAACUUCUUUUAUAAGGGAAGAAAGAAUGCUACGUGUAGCAUGAUGCCUGUACUUUAUGAAUAAGGAUCGGCUAACUCCGUGCCAGCAGCCGCGGUAAUACGGAGGAUGCGAGCGUUAUCCGGAUUUUUUGGGUUUAAAGGGUGCGUGGGUGGUUUUUUAAGCUGGUGUGAAAACGUCGGGGGUUAACCUUGAAUUGCCAAUAAUACUGUCAGACUCGAGUUCAGACGAGGUAGGCUGAAUUAGUUAAGUAGCGGUGAAAUGCUUAGAUAUCACUUAGAACUCCGAUAGCGAAGGCAGCUUACCAGACUGCGACUGAUGCUGAAGCACGAGAGCGUGGGUAGCGAACAGGAUUAGAUACCCGAGUAGUC